RNAcentral lists this ribosomal RNA (491 nucleotides) under uncultured bacterium. RNAcentral describes it as "partial 16S ribosomal RNA". It matches the Rfam family "Bacterial small subunit ribosomal RNA", at positions 30 to 506 of the family's 1533-position model. The record is from RNAcentral.
AGUGAACGCUGGCGGUAGGCCUAACACAUGCAAGUCGAACGGCAGCACAGUAAGAGCUUGCUCUUACGGGUGGCGAGUGGCGGACGGGUGAGGAAUACAUCGGAAUCUACUUUUUCGUGGGGGAUAACGUAGGGAAACUUACGCUAAUACCGCAUACGACCUACGGGUGAAAGCAGGGGAUCUUCGGACCUUGCGCGAUUGAAUGAGCCGAUGUCGGAUUAGCUAGUUGGCGGGGUAAAGGCCCACCAAGGCGACGAUCCGUAGCUGGUCUGAGAGGAUGAAGCCGCCCCGUGGAGUGGAGACGCGGUCCAGGCCCCUAGGGGAGGCAGCGGUGGGGAAUUUUGGAAAAAGGGGGGAAGCCUGAACCAGCCAAGGCGGGGUGGUGAAGAAGGCCUUCGGGUGGGAAAACCCUUUUUGUGGGAAAAAAAGCCAGCGGUUGAAACCCCGCGUGUUUGAAGGGAACCCAAAAAAAAACCCCGGGCAAAUUUGGG